Molecule: long non-coding RNA, 1633 nt
Filed under: Sus scrofa (pig)
Lineage: Eukaryota; Metazoa; Chordata; Mammalia; Artiodactyla; Suidae
Description: lncRNA (ENSSSCG00025015712.1, ENSSSCG00030005626.1)
Source: RNAcentral
CGAUCUGAAGAAAAGUCGGGGAAAACUUCUUUGUGGGUCAUUAUGGGUUUCCUGUCCUGAGUCCCUCCUGGGACCGUGGGCAGCAGAGGCCUGUCUCUUGCACAUGGUGAAGUUUCCCUUGUGUGUGUGGUUGUGGCACAGGAAGGAGGCGUGUGGAUCUUACACCUUAGGAACCUUCUCACCUUUCAAGAUUGACUUCGAAACCUCAUGUUGCCUGAGCAAGAAGCCCAGCAGGGGAGGAGGAGGAGGAGGAAGGAAGGCCAGGAGUCAGGAAUGGCUGUUUCUCAGAUAUCUCUCCUAUACAUGUGAUCAAGAAAUUACAACCGAAAGUAAACACUGAUAGAGGAGAAGCAUUCCAGACAGUGAAGCUGCAAAGACAGGAAAGGAACAAAAUCAAACAUUUUUACCUGAGGGAAAUCCAGGGAAACACAUACGACCUUGAGUCUCAGCAGAGAGAUGAGGAAAGAACUGACAAAGGAAUGGCUGUAACGCAACACGAAAAUCUCACCGCUAAGCGAGAUCGACAUGGUACCAGUAUUGCAGGGAUCAGUCCUGCUGGUAGCAGGUUUGCAGUAAGCUUUCAGGAUGAACUGCAUGGAUUUAAAAGUGCAGAGAAAAUUCUUCAAGCUGACUCGAGUCUCCGUAGUCGUGCCUCAUUUUCACCACCUCAAACAGUGUCUCCUGUCAUCCAAGCCAACAUCCCUAACACAAAUGGGAGUGAUUUUCCGCCUCCUUCCAUACUGACGCAAGACCAUCGUGAACACAGGGAAAGCCCGCACAGAUAUAAUCGGGGGAGUGAAACUUUUCAUCAGGACCUAAACCUCACUGAACCUCCGAUCAUCCUUGCAGGAGAGAAAGUGCAUGACCGUGAACUUUGCGGCAAAGUCUUUCGUCUGAACUCAGAUCUUGCAGUUCAUCCGAGAAAUCAUACUGGAGAGAAAGCUUACAAACCUCCUGUGCGUGGCCAAACCCUGAGUCCCGGCUCACACAACACAGGACCUCUGACAAGCCGUAUAGACGAGAACACGUAUACAUGUGAGGUGUGCAAAAAAGCCUUCCGUCGAAAGUCAUACCUCGCCAUGCAUCAGCGAAUUCAUGCCGCAGAGAAAGCCUACACCUGUGAUGUGUGUGGCAAGAAGUUUCAUCACAGUUCGAAUCGAAGGAGACAUCAGAGAAUCCACACAGGAGCCAAGCCGUACGCAUGUGACGUGUGCGGUAAAGGCUUUAAUCGCAAUUCAAUCCUCGCGCUUCAUCGGCGAAUUCACACGGGCGAGAAGCCCUACAAGUGUAACGCGUGUGGCAAGGUCUUUAGCCGAAAAGGAACCCUUGCGAGUCACCAGAGGAUUCACACGGGAGAGAAACCUUACAGAUGUACCCAGUGUGGCAAAACCUUUCACCACCGCUCCGUCCUCCUGCGCCAUCAGAUGAUCCAUAAGGGGCUUAAGUUGCAUAAAUGCGAUGUCUGCGGCAACGUUUAUAGUCGCAGAUCAAAUCUUGUCAUUCAUCACAGGACUCACACUGGAGAGAAACCUUACACAUGCCAUGCGUGCGGCCAGGUCUUCAGUCAGAAAGCAUCCCUUGCAUGUCAUCAGGCAGUUCAUACGGGAGAGGAGCCUUACAAAUGCAGUGAGUG